Molecule: ribosomal RNA, 1574 nt
Filed under: gut metagenome
Description: bacterial LSU rRNA
Rfam family: Bacterial large subunit ribosomal RNA
Source: RNAcentral
CCUGAGUAGUGUCAACCACGUGAAAUUUGGCAUGAAUCUGCCCAGACCAUUGCGUAAGGCUAAAUACUUUUUUACACCGACAGCGAAAAGUACCGUGAGGGAAAGGUGCAAAGAACCCCAGGAAGGGGAGUGAAAUAGAUUCUGAAAUUCAUUGCUUACAAUUGAGUGGGAGUCCUUCGGGAUGACCACGUACCUAUUGACGAAUGGGUCAGCGAGUCAUUGUUGCCAGCAAGGUUAAGCCAGGUAUAGGUGGAGCCGUAGGGAAACCGAGUCUGAAUAGGGCGAUUUAGUUGGUAGUAAUGGACCCGAAACGUUAUGAGCUAGGCAUGGGCAGGUUGAAGGUGUGCGAAAGUGCACUGGAGGACCGAACGGGUUGGAGCUGCAAAUCCUUCCGAUGACCUGUGUCUAGGAGUGAAAAGCUCAUCGAAUAACGUAAUAGCUGGUUCUCUCCGAAAUGCAUUAGGGUGCAGCCCUCAAUCGAGAUCUCACAGAGGUAGAGCUCUGAUAAGACUAGGGGUGUCGAGAGGCAUUACCAAAUCUUGUUAAACUUCGAAUGCUGUGAGGAAUAUUGAGGAGUGAGACUGCGGGGGCAAGCUUCGUGGUCAAAAGGAUAACAGUCCAGACUUCUAAUUAAGGUCCCAAAAGUAUAGCUAAGUGGUAAAGGAGGUGUUCUUGCUUUGACAUCCAGGAGGUUUGCUUAGAAGCAGCAAUCCUUUAAAGAUAGCGUAACAGCUCACUGGACAAGCGAGGAUGCGCCGAAGAUGUAACGGGGCUAAGCUAUAUACCGAAAUUCAUGGCCUACACAUUAGUGUAGUGCGGUAGGAGAGUGUUCUAUCGGGAUGAAGCAUAACUGUGAGGUUAUGUGGACUAGAUAGAAGUAAAAAUGCUGACAUGAGUAACGACGCAAGGCGAAAAUCCUUGCUGCCGAAAACCUAAGAAUUCCAGCGCAACGUUCAUCGUCGCUGGGUUAGUCGAGACCUAAGGUGAUACCAGAAGUGGUACAUCGAUGGAUAACUGGUUAAUAUUCCAGUACUUGUAUAUUCAGUGAUGUGGUAACGCAUCGGGAUUUGUAAGAGCUCAUUAAGGAUUUGAGUCGAAAAAGUAAGGUUUUGAUUGUAGGAAAAUCCGCAGUCAUUAUACUGAGCUUGAUCGGAAUUGCUUCCUUCGGGUUGUAAAAUUCUUAUAGUUCUGGUGUCGAGAAAAACCUCUAAACUUAUGUUUAUACAACUCGUAUUCAGAUCAGACACUUGUAGGUUGGUAGAGAAUACCAAGGCAAUCGAGAUAACUAGUGGAUAAGGAACUUGGCAAAAUAGCGGACGUACUUUCGAAAUAAGUCCUACCCUGCAGCAAUGUAGGGUUGCAACAAAUGACAUGGGGGGAACUGUUUAUCACAAACACAGCUCGCUGCUAACACGUAAGUGGAGAUAUAGCGAGUGAUGCCUGUCCAAUGCCAGAAUGUUAUGCUCUCUUGUGCAAGCUCGAGGGUUAAGCACUGGUGAAUGACGGCCGUAACUAUGACGGUCCUAAGGUAGCGAAAUUCCUUGUCAGGUAAGUUCUGACGCGCAUGAAUGGCA